AUUGAACGCUGGCGGCAUGCCUUACACAUGCAAGUCGAACGGCAGCACGGGUGCUUGCACCUGGUGGCGAGUGGCGAACGGGUGAGUAAUACAUCGGAACAUGUCCUGUAGUUGGGGAUAGCCCGGCGAAAGCCGGAUUAAUACCGCAUACGAUCUACGGAUGAAAGCGGGGGACCUUCGGGCUUCGCGCUAUAGGGUUGGCCGAUGGCUGAUUAGCUAGUUGGUGGGGUAAAGGCCUACCAAGGCGACGAUCAGUAGCUGGUCUGAGAGGACGACCAGCCACACUGGGACUGAGACACGGCCCAGACUCCUACGGGAGGCAGCAGUGGGGAAUUUUGGACAAAGGGCGAAAGCCUGAUCCAGCAAUGCCGCGUGUGUGAAGAAGGCCUUCGGGUUGUAAAGCACUUUUGUCCGGAAAGAAAUCCUUGGCCCUAAUACGGUCGGGGGAUGACGGUACCGGAAGAAUAGGCACCGGCUAACUACGUG
RNAcentral lists this ribosomal RNA (486 nucleotides) under uncultured bacterium. Its description in RNAcentral is "partial 16S ribosomal RNA". It matches the Rfam family "Bacterial small subunit ribosomal RNA", at positions 30 to 507 of the family's 1533-position model. The record is from RNAcentral.